UCAGUUAUAUUGCAGGGCUGGUGAUGGCGAGGAUCAGAUUCUCCUUUACAACUUCUUCCCCUUUGGAAAUCAGGGCAGUGACAUGCAAGUGACAGCUUUUCCUCUGCUCGCCAAGUCCAGUGAGCAGGCAAAGGCGCCGUGUUCACCCUCCCACCGGGCAUGUUCUGCUCAUCGAGGAACAGGUGGGCUCUCACAGUGAACUCAUCCAGUGGUCCGUCCCACCUGUGCAUUUCGUAAGAAAAAUUCCAUGUUGAGCCUGUUCUGGCAGAGGAACUCACACAGAUAGAAAUCUGAUGGUGCAAUUGUACUAAAGAAAACCCUGCAAGCACAGCCAGGACUAAUUACUCUAACCUCAGACCUGGCUGCUGUCCACACGACGAGGCUCUGUGCCGGCACAUGGACUAGCAGAGUUUGUAGAGGAACAAACUGAUGGAGAAACAGGAACGAAAGGCUACACUUGUGCAACCUUUAUGGCCCCAAAAAUGCUUCAACAUACAAUGAAGAUGUUAUGCCAGUAAGUUUUGGUCCGUAGAUGCUACUACUUAGUAAGCCCAUAGGGUUAAGCCUAGAAAAAUGAGGAUCUUGAAGGCAUUUUAAAAUUCAUCUGUAUCUUGUAACCAAGUAAAGUUAUGUAAUUGCCUGUGCUGAUGUAAAGACAUGGAUGUAACCUUGAGACAUGGCUAUUCCUUUGGUAUUUGACAGAUUGGUGGUGAUCGUUUUCCAGAAUGAAUAGACUCCAGAGUGGGUUGAACAGGGUGGAGGAAGCUCCCUUGUAAGGGGAAACAGCUCCAGGUGCCUUUUCUGUGGCAGCAACACUGAGAGCUCCCCCCUCCUCUGCCCCUCCUCAACACCACCUCAUCUCCAAAGGUGUGCACUAUGUGGGAGCAGGGUGAAAAUAGCCCUCUGGCAACCUCACUGCCAGCCAAAAUCCCAUGGGCAUACCACAUCACUAAAUAUCACAGCCCCGAGCAUCCUAGGGAUUCAGGCUACCAGAGGUGACUGUGGUGGGGAUGGGGUGUUGAUGGGGACAAUGGGACACGGUAUCCAGGCUUCUUCUGCAGCCACUCCUUUGCAUGGACAAGCGCAUCCCGGCUGUUUGUUGGCUGUUUGUCUUGGCAGUGAGUCCUCACAUCGAACCGAGGGUGUCAUUUAUCCUCAGCAUCAACAGCCCCCACCAGAGCAAGCAGCAAGAGCUGGCAGGGGGCUUCCUCUGGCCUCUGCUUCACAUUCCUCCACCUCUCACACAAUAACAAGGGUCCUGCAGAAGAGACCUCUGCCAAUCCUCUGCCUCUUCCUUGUAGUUUUGAAAUGCACCAGUCAAGAAAAAUCGUGGUUUUCAGCCGGUUUUGGUUUGCUCCCAGGGCAUGUCCGUUCCUCUCGUGAAUCAGAAGCGGUGGCAAACACAACGUGCUGUGCCUCUAUCGGGUACAUACCAUCCCCAUUCCUCGCUGUUCAAUGGAGAACAGCAGCACGGUUUAUUGCCCUGUGGAUGGACAAAGAGAGCCUUGUUCCCUGUGGGACUCUGUCACGCUGAUGUUUCUUUUCCACUUGGUGCUUCUGUGUCACCAAAAGAGC
Anas platyrhynchos (mallard) is the source of this 1575-nucleotide long non-coding RNA. RefSeq lists it as uncharacterized. The record is from RefSeq and is a predicted model, not a curated record. Lineage: Eukaryota; Metazoa; Chordata; Aves; Anseriformes; Anatidae.